This 460-nucleotide ribosomal RNA is filed under the name uncultured bacterium. RNAcentral's name for it is "partial 16S ribosomal RNA". It matches the Rfam family "Bacterial small subunit ribosomal RNA", at positions 338 to 795 of the family's 1533-position model. The record is from RNAcentral.
CCUACGGGUGGCAGCAGUGAGGAAUAUUGGUCAAUGGUCGGGAGACUGAACCAGCCAAGCCGCGUGAGGGAUGAAGGUACAGAGUAUCGUAAACCUCUUUUGUCAGGGAACAAAGGCGGGGACGUGUCCCCGGAUGAGUGUACCUGAAGAAAAAGCAUCGGCUAACUCCGUGCCAGCAGCCGCGGUAAUACGGAGGAUGCGAGCGUUAUCCGGAUUUAUUGGGUUUAAAGGGUGCGUAGGCGGUUCGAUAAGUUAGAGGUGAAAUCCCGGGGCUCAACUCCGGCACUGCCUCUGAUACUGUCGGGCUAGAGUUUAGUUGCGGUAGGCGGAAUGUAUGGUGUAGCGGUGAAAUGCAUAGAGAUCAUACAGAACACCGAUUGCGAAGGCAGCUUACCAAACUACGACUGACGUUGAGGCACGAAAGCGUGGGGAGCAAACAGGAUUAGAUACCCGUGUAGUC